Molecule: ribosomal RNA, 1372 nt
Filed under: uncultured bacterium
Lineage: Bacteria
Description: bacterial SSU rRNA
Rfam family: Bacterial small subunit ribosomal RNA
Source: RNAcentral
GAUGAACGCUGGCGGCGUGCCUAAUACAUGCAAGUCGAGCGAACGGACGAGAAGCUUGCUUUUCUGAUGUUAGCGGCGGACGGGUGAGUAACACGUGGAUAACCUACCUAUAAGACUGGGAUAACUUCGGGAAACCGGAGCUAAUACCGGAUAAUAUUUUGAACCGCAUGGUUCAAAAGUGAAAGACGGUCUUGCUGUCACUUAUAGAUGGAUCCGCGCUGCAUUAGCUAGUUGGUAAGGUAACGGCUUACCAAGGCAACGAUGCAUAGCCGACCUGAGAGGGUGAUCGGCCACACUGGAACUGAGACACGGUCCAGACUCCUACGGGAGGCAGCAGUAGGGAAUCUUCCGCAAUGGGCGAAAGCCUGACGGAGCAACGCCGCGUGAGUGACGAAGGUCUUCGGAUCGUAAAACUCUGUUAUUAGGGAAGAACAUAUGUGUAAGUAACUGUGCACAUCUUGACGGUACCUAAUCAGAAAGCCACGGCUAACUACGUGCCAGCAGCCGCGGUAAUACGUAGGUGGCAAGCGUUAUCCGGAAUUAUUGGGCGUAAAGCGCGCGUAGGCGGUUUUUUAAGUCUGAUGUGAAAGCCCACGGCUCAACCGUGGAGGGUCAUUGGAAACUGGAAAACUUGAGUGCAGAAGAGGAAAGUGGAAUUCCAUGUGUAGCGGUGAAAUGCGCAGAGAUGUGGAGGAACACCAGUGGCGAAGGCGACUUUCUGGUCUGUAACUGACGCUGAUGUGCGAAAGCGUGGGGAUCAAACAGGAUUAGAUACCCUGGUAGUCCACGCCGUAAACGAUGAGUGCUAAGUGUUAGGGGGUUUCCGCCCCUUAGUGCUGCAGCUAACGCAUUAAGCACUCCGCCUGGGGAGUACGACCGCAAGGUUGAAACUCAAAGGAAUUGACGGGGGCCCGCACAAGCGGUGGAGCAUGUGGUUUAAUUCGAAGCAACGCGAAGAACCUUACCAAAUCUUGACAUCCUUUGACAACUCUAGAGAUAGAGCCUUCCCCUUCGGGGGACAAAGUGACAGGUGGUGCAUGGUUGUCGUCAGCUCGUGUCGUGAGAUGUUGGGUUAAGUCCCGCAACGAGCGCAACCCUUAAGCUUAGUUGCCAUCAUUAAGUUGGGCACUCUAAGUUGACUGCCGGUGACAAACCGGAGGAAGGUGGGGAUGACGUCAAAUCAUCAUGCCCCUUAUGAUUUGGGCUACACACGUGCUACAAUGGACAAUACAAAGGGCAGCGAAACCGCGAGGUCAAGCAAAUCCCAUAAAGUUGUUCUCAGUUCGGAUUGUAGUCUGCAACUCGACUACAUGAAGCUGGAAUCGCUAGUAAUCGUAGAUCAGCAUGCUACGGUGAAUACGUUCCCGGGUCU